AGAUAAAUAAAGAUUUUCUUCUUUAUUUUGCAAAAAUAAUGUUAAGGUUUAUUACCUUUUUAUCUU
RNAcentral lists this transfer RNA (66 nucleotides) under Megalobenedenia derzhavini. RNAcentral describes it as "tRNA-Cys". Lineage: Eukaryota; Metazoa; Platyhelminthes; Monogenea; Capsalidea; Capsalidae. The record is from RNAcentral.